CACUUAAGAACUUUUCUGCAAAGGAGCCAGAGACUCUACACACUAAGGCACCAGGGUGCAACACUCCAGCCCUAAUAAGCCAGAACUAAGGAGAAGUAGACUCUGAGUACAGCUCAAUUGAUCUCACCAAAAACAGCGAUCUGAUCAAGUCAUCAUGCCAUAAGACCUUCAGGGUCUCCAUCCUCUGGUCACAGCAUACUCUCGAGCUCCUCUUCACCUUCUGCUCUACCAGAUACCCACAUGCCGGCAGUGGGUGAGCAGAGGGCCACACUGCCAUUCUCACUGAGAUAGCUGUUUGUUGUGGAGGACUGUCCUAUGCAUAUAUUCCACCAAAAAAAAAUGUAUACACACUUCAGGAAAAGAAAAAUGGCAUGAUGUUUUUCUACAGAUAUCAUUGCCUUUGCCUGAGGACCCCUAGAGGAUGUCAUAUAUCACAGAAAGGCCACUACACUGCCAGCCCUUCGAGAAGAAAUUGAAAAUGCACGUGCAGCCAUCUCAAUGACCAAGGUUACCCAAGCAGUGG
RNAcentral lists this long non-coding RNA (523 nucleotides) under Heterocephalus glaber (naked mole-rat). Its description in RNAcentral is "lncRNA (ENSHGLG00100051199.1)". The record is from RNAcentral. Lineage: Eukaryota; Metazoa; Chordata; Mammalia; Rodentia; Bathyergidae.